This 416-nucleotide ribosomal RNA is filed under the name Klebsiella pneumoniae. RNAcentral's name for it is "bacterial SSU rRNA". It matches the Rfam family "Bacterial small subunit ribosomal RNA", at positions 1116 to 1532 of the family's 1533-position model. Lineage: Bacteria; Pseudomonadati; Pseudomonadota; Gammaproteobacteria; Enterobacterales; Enterobacteriaceae. The record is from RNAcentral. RNAcentral also lists the same sequence under 1 other name.
UGCCAGCGGUCCGGCCGGGAACUCAAAGGAGACUGCCAGUGAUAAACUGGAGGAAGGUGGGGAUGACGUCAAGUCAUCAUGGCCCUUACGACCAGGGCUACACACGUGCUACAAUGGCAUAUACAAAGAGAAGCGACCUCGCGAGAGCAAGCGGACCUCAUAAAGUAUGUCGUAGUCCGGAUUGGAGUCUGCAACUCGACUCCAUGAAGUCGGAAUCGCUAGUAAUCGUAGAUCAGAAUGCUACGGUGAAUACGUUCCCGGGCCUUGUACACACCGCCCGUCACACCAUGGGAGUGGGUUGCAAAAGAAGUAGGUAGCUUAACCUUCGGGAGGGCGCUUACCACUUUGUGAUUCAUGACUGGGGUGAAGUCGUAACAAGGUAACCGUAGGGGAACCUGCGGUUGGAUCACCUCCUU